UGGGGGAUAUUGCACAAUGGGGGGAACCCUGAUGCAGCGACGCCGCGUGAGCGAAGAAGAUCUUCGGAUUGUAAAGCUCUGUCUUAGGGGACGAUAAUGACGGUACCCUGAGAGGAAGCCACGGCUAACUACGUGCCAGCAGCCGCGGUAAUACGUAGGUGGCAAGCGUUGUCCGGAAUUACUGGGUGUAAAGGGAGCGCAGGCGGGUGCGCAAGUUGGAAGUGAAACUCAUGGGCUCAACCCAUGACCUGCUUUCAAAACUGCGCGUCUUGAGUGGUGUAGAGGUAGGCGGAAUUCCCGGUGUAGCGGUGGAAUGCGUAGAUAUCGGGAGGAACACCAGUGGCGAAGGCGGCCUACUGGGCACUAACUGACGCUGAGGCUCGAAAGCAUGGGUAGCAAACAGG
This 404-nucleotide ribosomal RNA is filed under the name uncultured bacterium. RNAcentral describes it as "bacterial SSU rRNA". It matches the Rfam family "Bacterial small subunit ribosomal RNA", at positions 355 to 776 of the family's 1533-position model. The record is from RNAcentral.